UACGGAGGGUGCAAGCGUUAUCCGGAUUCACUGGGUUUAAAGGGUGUGUAGGCGGGCUGUUAGGUCAGUGGUGAAAUCUCCGGGCUCAACCCGGAAACUGCCAUUGAUACUAUCAGUCUUGAAUCUUGUUGAGGUAGGCGGAAUAUAUCAUGUAGCGGUGAAAUGCGUAGAUAUGAUAUAGAACACCGAUUGCGAAGGCAGCUUACUAAACAAGCAUUGACGCUGAGGCACGAAAGCGUGGGGAUCAAACAGG
Molecule: ribosomal RNA, 253 nt
Filed under: uncultured bacterium
Lineage: Bacteria
Description: partial 16S ribosomal RNA
Rfam family: Bacterial small subunit ribosomal RNA
Source: RNAcentral